This 2354-nucleotide ribosomal RNA is filed under the name bioreactor sludge metagenome. RNAcentral's name for it is "bacterial LSU rRNA". It matches the Rfam family "Bacterial large subunit ribosomal RNA", at positions 15 to 2044 of the family's 2925-position model. The record is from RNAcentral.
AGAAGGGUAUACGGUGGAUGCCUUGGUACUAUGAGCCGAUGAAGGACGCGGUAGCCGGCGAUACGCUUCGGGGAGGUGGCAACAACCUUUGAUCCGGAGAUGUCCGAAUGGGGAAACCCACAUGUGUAAAGCACAUGUGCCUUUAUAUCGUGGGAUAUAUUGUGCGGGAACCAUGCGAAGUGAAACAUCUCAGUAGCAUGAGGAAAAUAAAGAAAGGUCUGCGUCAAGCAGACUGUCGAUUCCGUUAGUAGUGGCGAGCGAACGCGGAGAAAUAUAGAAAUUUAUUCAUUGCACACAUAUGCUUGUGAGCGGUGAAUAAAUUAUCUAUUAGCCCAAACCUAUAGUGUGUUAUUUUUCAAACCAGUUUACUGGAGAGAUUAAUUUAAAGCUUACUGGCGUUGCAUUAUAGGCGUUAUAAGAAUUGACGUUGCGGUACAGUAAUACCGCAGAGGAAUUUAAGUGUGCUAUGUAGCAGAACAUACCUGGAAAGGUAGACCAAAGAGGGUGAUAGUCCCGUAUAGUGAAACAUCAUACAGUUCCUGAUCUUUUUCUUGAGUAAGUCCAGACACGAGAAAUCUGGACUGAAUUCGCGUAGACUAAUACGUAAGGCUAAAUACUCAUAGUGACCGAUAGUGAACCAGUACCGUGAGGGAAAGGUGAAAAGCACCCCGGAAGGGGAAUGAAAUAGUCCCUGAAACCGUAUACUUACAAGGAGUCGAAGACCUAGUCGAAUUUAUUCGACAGGUUAACGGCGUGCCUAUUGAAGAAUGAUCCAACGAGUUAGUUGUAUGUGGCUUAACUAAGUGUUAACAAACACGAAGUUGUAGUGAAAGCGAGGAUUAAUAGUCCGCAUAAAGUUAUAUUCAGUUUUCAGAUUCGUCUGAACGCUGAAUAUAUACUUUAAGGUCGCAUGCGCUAGACCCGAAACCCGAGUGAGCUACCCAUGGCCAGGAUGAACGUUGUGUAAAAGCAACGGGAGGUCCGAACCCACUGAUGUUGCAAAAUCAGGGGAUGAGCUGUGGGUCGAAGAGAAAUUCUAAUCGAACCGGGUGAUAGCUGGUUCUCCUCGAAAUAACUUUAGGGUUAGCGUCACGUGUUCCUUACAGAGGUAGAGCACUGAAUCGGACUCCGGUGGGAAACCGUCGGAUUCGAACCAAACUCCGAAUUCUGAUAAGUAAAUAGCGUGGCAGUUAGACCAUGGGCUCUAAGGUCCAUUGGUCGAAUGGAGAAGAAUCCACACCGCCGUCUAAGGCCCCCAAAUCCUAGCUAUAGUGCAAAGGAUGUGGGAUUGCUCAUACAACCAGGAGGUUGGCUUAGAAGCAGCCAUCCUUUAAAGAAAGCGUAACAGCUCACUGGUCAAGCGAUCCUGCGCCGACAAUAUAUAGGGGCUAAGCUAGGUGCCGAAGACGCGGGUCCUUUGCCAAGAUUUUGUGUGGUAAGUUUGCCCUCCUUCGCAUAAAGCUAUGGAGGGCGCCCUUCGCUAUUAAUAUUUAUAGCGAUUGGCGUCCGAAAGUUUUAUGUAUAUGGAGGCGGCUUGCCGCCCGAAGUCUUGGCGAAGGGCGGUAGAGGAGUGUUGUGUACAGGCUGAAGCGGGAUCCGUAAGGACCCGUGGACAGUGCACAAGUAAGAAUGUUGGAAUAAGUAAUAUAUAUAGGGGUGAGAAUCCCCUUCGCCGAAAAUCCAAGGUUUCCUGGGCAACGAUUGUCGUCCCAGGGUUAGUCGGGCCUAAGAGCCGGCCUCAAGAGGUCGGCCCGAUGGAAAACAGGGUUGAUAUUCCCUGACCAAUUAUGCGUUAUCCAAGACGGGACGCAUCAUGAUAAUCCAAGCGUGCUGUGAGUAUGUACGUCGCUGUACCAUUAGGGAGAAAUUCUAGGCAAAUCCGGAAUUUCUAGAUGGGUUUAUAACCUCCGGGUUAUAGACUUGUUGUAAUCUCGAAGGUAUGGAGAAAGUUCGCAAGAACAAUUUGGGUGAAUCAAGGUGCCAAGAAAAGCGUCGUGGUCACGCGUGUAAUUGUCCGUACCGCAAACCGACACAGGUGGAUGAGGAGAGAAUCCUAAGGCGCCCGGAUCAAUGUUCGUUAAGGAACUCGGCAAUACAGCAGGUGUACCUUCGGUAUAUACCUUGCCUGUUUGCAUGCUGGGUCAAUGGAAAGAAGUUUUUCUCAUUAGUUUGCACGCUCAAGCGUAUGGCUACGUCAGCAUCAAAUCGCUCCGCGAUUUGGCAGUCUGUGCCAUAAGGCUUUCGCUUAGCAAACUAAUGAGAAAGAGAAAGUUUGGGAAUACAUAACCAAUUGAUUUUGGUGGAGGUAUCGCCCAACGUAUCAGAGUGUUCGCAAGUAUCAUGAAAUACUGAAA